CUUGAAUAAAAGUAGAUUUUUCUUCAUAACUCAAAGAAUUUGGCGGUUAAUCUUAUAUUCAGAGGAACCUGUGUAUUAAUUGAUAAACCACGAUAGUUUUUACUUUCUAGUUAUUUAUAUAUCUCUAUGUAAUGAUUGUUUUUUAAGAAUUAAUUUUCUUUUAGUUUAUUCAAUUAUAUUAGGUCAAGGUGUAGUUUUUAGAGUAGUUUAUAUGGGUUACUUUAGUUUUUAAUUUUAAUUUUAUAUUUAUGAUUAACAUAUUUAUUGUUUAGGAUUUGAUAGUAAUUUAAAUUAAUUAAUUAUUUUGAAUUUUU
RNAcentral lists this ribosomal RNA (314 nucleotides) under Tricentrus sp. CPL-2004. Its description in RNAcentral is "partial 12S small subunit ribosomal RNA". The record is from RNAcentral. Lineage: Eukaryota; Metazoa; Arthropoda; Insecta; Hemiptera; Membracidae.